Non-coding RNA from Pteropus alecto (black flying fox), 119 nucleotides. The record is from Rfam. NCBI's taxonomy places the organism in Eukaryota, Metazoa, Chordata, Mammalia, Chiroptera, Pteropodidae.
GUCUACGGCCAUGCUACCCUGAGCAAGCCCUAUCCCGUCUGAUCUCGGAAGCUAAGCAGGGUUGGGCCUGGUUAGUAUUUGAAUAGGAGACCACCUAGGAAGACCAGGUGCUGUAGGCA